CACGUAGGGCGCGAGCGUUGUCCGGAAUUAUUGGGCGUAAAGAGCUCGUAGGCGGCCUGUUGCGUCCGCUGUGAAAGCCCGGGGCUUAACCCCGGGUCUGCAGUGGAUACGGGCAGGCUAGAGGUAGGUAGGGGAGAAUGGAAUUCCCGGUGUAGCGGUGAAAUGCGCAGAUAUCGGGAGGAACACCGGUGGCGAAGGCGGUUCUCUGGGCCGUAACUGACGCUGAGGAGCGAAAGCGUGGGGAGCGAACAGG
RNAcentral lists this ribosomal RNA (253 nucleotides) under uncultured bacterium. RNAcentral describes it as "partial 16S ribosomal RNA". It matches the Rfam family "Bacterial small subunit ribosomal RNA", at positions 524 to 776 of the family's 1533-position model. The record is from RNAcentral.